GAAAUGCGAUAAGUAAUGUGAAUUGCAGAAUUCAGUGAAUCAUCGAAUCUUUGAACGCACCUUGCGCCCGUUGGUAUUCCGACGGGCAUGCCUGUUUGAGUGUCGUGAACAACCUCAACCUUGAUUGGUUUUACCAUCAAGGCUUGGACUUGGGUGUUGCUGCUGCAAAGUGGCUCGCCUUAAAACUAUUAGCUGGACUUGUCUAUGACUUGGUUCGACUCGAUGUAAUAAGUAUUCAUCGGGGACAGGGUUAAACCUGGCCAAGGCUUGAUGCCGUCUGCUUCUAAUCAUGUUCUCACUAUGAGACGCUACUUUACUGUGUGGCCUCAAAUCAGGUAGGAUUACCCGCUGAACUUAA
This 358-nucleotide ribosomal RNA is filed under the name fungal sp. Its description in RNAcentral is "partial contains 5.8S ribosomal RNA, internal transcribed spacer 2, and large subunit ribosomal RNA". The stretch from base 1 to 105 matches the Rfam family "5.8S ribosomal RNA", at positions 50 to 154 of the family's 154-position model. RNAcentral also lists the same sequence under 4 other names. Lineage: Eukaryota; Fungi. The record is from RNAcentral.